Molecule: ribosomal RNA, 453 nt
Filed under: uncultured marine bacterium
Lineage: Bacteria
Description: bacterial SSU rRNA
Rfam family: Bacterial small subunit ribosomal RNA
Source: RNAcentral
GAUGACUGCCCUAUGGGUUGUAAACUGCUUUUAUACAGGAAGAAACACUCCGUACGUGUCGGAGCUUGACGGUACUGUAAGAAUACGGAUCGGCUAACUCCGUGCCAGCAGCCGCGGUAAUACGGAGGAUCCAAGCGUUAUCCGGAAUCAUUGGGUUUAAAGGGUCCGCAGGCUGUUUUUUAAGUCAGAGGUGAAAUCCUACAUCUCAACUGUAGAACUGCCUUUGAUACUGGAAAACUUGAGUUAUUGUGAAGUGGGUAGAAUGUGUGGUGUAGCGGUGAAAUGCAUAGAUAUCACACAGAAUACCGAUUGCGAAGGCAGAUCACUAACAAUAUACUGACGCUCAUGGACGAAAGCGUGGGGAGCGAACAGGAUUAGAUACCCUGGUAGUCCACGCCGUAAACGAUGGAUACUAGCUGUUCGUCUACUAUUGGUUAGAUGAGUGGCUAAGCG